Long non-coding RNA from Haliotis rubra (blacklip abalone), 100 nucleotides. RefSeq lists it as uncharacterized. The record is from RefSeq and is a predicted model, not a curated record. NCBI's taxonomy places the organism in Eukaryota, Metazoa, Mollusca, Gastropoda, Lepetellida, Haliotidae. The transcript is spliced from 3 exons.
ACUGCAACUGCAUGCACAUCAUAGGGGUUAAGAUGAUCAAUUUCUGUCACUAAUAACUGCCCUGUAACCGGUGUCCAAAAUGUUCUUGGCAUUAUCAGAC